GACGAACGCUGGCGGCGUGCUUAACACAUGCAAGUCGAACGGAAAGGCCCUGCUUUUGUGGGGUGCUCGAGUGGCGAACGGGUGAGUAACACGUGAGUAACCUGCCCUUGACUUUGGGAUAACUUCAGGAAACUGGGGCUAAUACCGGAUAGGAGCUCCUGCUGCAUGGUGGGGGUUGGAAAGUUUCGGCGGUUGGGGAUGGACUCGCGGCUUAUCAGCUUGUUGGUGGGGUAGUGGCUUACCAAGGCUUUGACGGGUCGCCGGCCUGAGAGGGUGACCGGCCACAUGAGGACUGAGAGACGGCCCAGACUCGUAUGGGCGGCAGCGGUGGGGAAUAUUGCACAGUAGCCGGAAGCCUGAUGCAGCGACGUCGCGUGCGGGAUGACCGCCUUCGAGUUAUAAACCGCUUUCGCCUGUGACGAAGCGUGAGUGGCGGUAAUGUGUAAAGAAGCACCGGCUAACUACGUG
RNAcentral lists this ribosomal RNA (468 nucleotides) under uncultured bacterium. RNAcentral's name for it is "partial 16S ribosomal RNA". It matches the Rfam family "Bacterial small subunit ribosomal RNA", at positions 28 to 507 of the family's 1533-position model. The record is from RNAcentral.